RNAcentral lists this long non-coding RNA (225 nucleotides) under Lepisosteus oculatus (spotted gar). RNAcentral describes it as "lncRNA (ENSLOCG00000022410.1)". Lineage: Eukaryota; Metazoa; Chordata; Actinopteri; Semionotiformes; Lepisosteidae. The record is from RNAcentral.
CUAGGAUCAAUCCGGUGGGCCCGGCCCACCCGUGGCUACGCCCCUGGUCCUGAGUCUGCGUAUGGGGUCAAGGUUUGCAGAAGUGAACUGUCCUGCUGUUUAGUGACUCCAGUCCUCAGCAGCGCCCCUCCGUCUCCACGGCACUUGUUUUAGCUGCCAGAAUCCCUACGAGAUCAGAUAUGAAAUACAUCUUAGUAAAGAUGAUAUCUCUAUGGAAAACAAAUC